RNAcentral lists this ribosomal RNA (493 nucleotides) under Penicillium chrysogenum. Its description in RNAcentral is "eukaryotic LSU rRNA". The stretch from base 127 to 279 matches the Rfam family "5.8S ribosomal RNA". Lineage: Eukaryota; Fungi; Ascomycota; Eurotiomycetes; Eurotiales; Aspergillaceae. The record is from RNAcentral. RNAcentral also lists the same sequence under 1 other name.
UGUUGCUUCGGCGGGCCCGCCUUAACUGGCCGCCGGGGGGCUUACGCCCCCGGGCCCGCGCCCGCCGAAGACACCCUCGAACUCUGUCUGAAGAUUGUAGUCUGAGUGAAAAUAUAAAUUAUUUAAAACUUUCAACAACGGAUCUCUUGGUUCCGGCAUCGAUGAAGAACGCAGCGAAAUGCGAUACGUAAUGUGAAUUGCAAAUUCAGUGAAUCAUCGAGUCUUUGAACGCACAUUGCGCCCCCUGGUAUUCCGGGGGGCAUGCCUGUCCGAGCGUCAUUGCUGCCCUCAAGCACGGCUUGUGUGUUGGGCCCCGUCCUCCGAUCCCGGGGGACGGGCCCGAAAGGCAGCGGCGGCACCGCGUCCGGUCCUCGAGCGUAUGGGGCUUUGUCACCCGCUCUGUAGGCCCGGCCGGCGCUUGCCGAUCAACCCAAAUUUUUAUCCAGGUUGACCUCGGAUCAGGUAGGGAUACCCGCUGAACUUAAGCAUAUCA